AAAAAAACGAGAAGGGCCGCUAUGAGACGGUGGAACGCUUCUCAACUUUUAUAACCGGUACUCAGUCAGUACAUUCAUAUGUACAAACACAUUUGAAUGUAUGUAUGCAUGUAACCUUUGUGUCAUAAAUUCAUAUGUAUGUAUGUAUAAAAGUUGAGAAGCGUUCCACCGUCUCAUAGCGUCCAUUCUCGUUUUUUUU
This 199-nucleotide microRNA precursor is filed under the name Drosophila guanche. The record is from RNAcentral. Lineage: Eukaryota; Metazoa; Arthropoda; Insecta; Diptera; Drosophilidae.